RNAcentral lists this ribosomal RNA (408 nucleotides) under uncultured bacterium. RNAcentral describes it as "bacterial SSU rRNA". It matches the Rfam family "Bacterial small subunit ribosomal RNA", at positions 8 to 418 of the family's 1533-position model. The record is from RNAcentral.
AGAGUUUGAUCCUGGCUCAGAUUGAACGCUGGCGGCAUGCCUUACACAUGCAAGUCGAACGGCAGCACGGGAGCAAUCCUGGUGGCGAGUGGCGAACGGGUGAGUAAUGUAUCGGAACGUACCUUUCAGUGGGGGAUAACGUAGCGAAAGUUACGCUAAUACCGCAUAUUCUGUGAGCAGGAAAGCAGGGGAUCGCAAGACCUUGCGCUGAUUGAGCGGCCGAUAUCAGAUUAGCUAGUUGGUGAGGUAAAGGCUCACCAAGGCGACGAUCUGUAGCGGGUCUGAGAGGAUGAUCCGCCACACUGGAACUGAGACACGGUCCAGACUCCUACGGGAGGCAGCAGUGGGGAAUUUUGGACAAUGGGGGCAACCCUGAUCCAGCCAUGCCGCGUGAGUGAAGAAGGCCUU